UACGGGGGGAGCAAGCGUUGUUCGGAUUUACUGGGCGUAAAGGGCUCGUAGGCGGCCAACUAAGUCAGACGUGAAAUCCCUCGGCUUAACCGGGGAACUGCGUCCGAUACUGGAUGGCUCGAGUGUGGGAGAGGGAUGCGGAAUUCCAGGUGUAGCGGUGAAAUGCGUAGAUAUCUGGAGGAACACCGGUGGCGAAGGCGGCAUCCUGGACCACGACUGACGCUGAAUAGCGAAAGCCAGGGGAGCAAACGGG
RNAcentral lists this ribosomal RNA (253 nucleotides) under uncultured bacterium. Its description in RNAcentral is "partial 16S ribosomal RNA". It matches the Rfam family "Bacterial small subunit ribosomal RNA", at positions 524 to 776 of the family's 1533-position model. The record is from RNAcentral.